UCGCUAUGAUGAUGGUGGUGGUGGUGGUGAUGAUGAUGAUGAUGAUGAUAAUAAUCCCAGAUCAUCAUCACUACUAUCAUUAUCAUCCUCC
This 91-nucleotide microRNA precursor is filed under the name Bigelowiella natans CCMP2755. Its description in RNAcentral is "miRNA EPrBNAG00000013278". Lineage: Eukaryota; Cercozoa; Chlorarachniophyceae. The record is from RNAcentral.